This 496-nucleotide ribosomal RNA is filed under the name uncultured bacterium. RNAcentral describes it as "partial 16S ribosomal RNA". It matches the Rfam family "Bacterial small subunit ribosomal RNA", at positions 28 to 506 of the family's 1533-position model. The record is from RNAcentral.
GAUGAACGCUGGCGGCGUGCCUAAUACAUGCAAGUCGAGCGAACAGAUGAGGAGCUUGCUCCUCUGACGUUAGCGGCGGACGGGUGAGUAACACGUGGAUAACCUACCUAUAAGACUGGGAUAACUUCGGGAAACCGGAGCUAAUACCGGAUAAUAUAUUGAACCGCAUGGUUCAAUAGUGAAAGACGGUUUUGCUGUCACUUAUAGAUGGAUCCGCGCCGCAUUAGCUAGUUGGUAAGGUAACGGCUUACCAAGGCAACGAUGCGUAGCCGACCUGAGAGGGUGAUCGGCCACACUGGAACUGAGACACGGUCCAGACCCCUACGGGAGGCAGCAGUAGGGAAUCUUCCGCAAUGGGCGAAAGCCUGACGGAGCAACGCCGCGUGAGUGAUGAAGGUCUUCGGAUCGUAAAACUCUGUUAUUAGGGAAGAACAAAUGUGUAAGUAACUAUGCACGUCUUGACGGUACCUAAUCAGAAAGCCACGGCUAACUACGG